UUAAAGGAAUUGACGGAAGGGCACCACCAGCAGUGGGGCCUGCGGCUUAAUUUGACUCAACGCGGGAAACCUCACUAGGCCCGGACACUCGAAGGAUUGACAGAUUGAGAGCUCUUUCUUGAUUGGGUGGGUGGUGGUGCAUGGCCGUUCUUCGUUGGUGGAGCGAUUUGUCUGCUUAAUUGCGAUAACGAACGAGACUCUAGCCUGCUAACUAGUCGAUACCGGCAUCCUAUGUGCAGCCGGCGACAAUAUAUCUUCUUAGAGGGACAGGUGGUGUAUAGCCACACGAGAUUGAGCAAUAACAGGUCUGAGAUGCCCUUAGAUGUUCUGGGCCGCACGCGCGCCACACUGAAGGGAUCAGCGUGUGUUUUCCUAGUCCGAGAGGACCGGGUAACCCGAUGAACCUCCUUCGUGCUAGGGAUUGGGGCUUGCAAUUUUUCCCCACGAACGAGGAAUUCCUAGUAAGCGUGAGUCAUAACCUCGCGUUGAUUAUGUCCCUGCCCUUUGUCCACACCGCCCGUCGCUACUACCGAUUGAAUGAUUUAGUGAGGUCUUCGGACCAGUGCGCGGCCUUCGGAAGAUUUUCUUUCGAAGAUCGAUGCUACCGGGAAGAUGACCGAACUUGAUUAUUUAGAGGAAGUAAAAGUCGUAACAAGGUUCCC
Molecule: ribosomal RNA, 662 nt
Filed under: Rhicnogryllus viettei
Lineage: Eukaryota; Metazoa; Arthropoda; Insecta; Orthoptera; Trigonidiidae
Description: SSU rRNA
Rfam family: Eukaryotic small subunit ribosomal RNA
Source: RNAcentral